Molecule: ribosomal RNA, 921 nt
Filed under: Triticum aestivum (bread wheat)
Lineage: Eukaryota; Viridiplantae; Streptophyta; Magnoliopsida; Poales; Poaceae
Description: partial small subunit ribosomal RNA
Source: RNAcentral
AUGUCUAAAGCUUUUCACGAUGUCGUCUCGUCCGAGGUCGUCUCCGUCGGCCAACACCUGUGGAGGAUCGACUGUUACCCGCGGGGGCCCGUACUCUACUCCCAAGAGCACAAGGGAAACUAUGUCUCCAUCUUCCUUAAGCACAUGAGCGAUUCCAAAAGCGUACGCGCCAGCUUCGUCGCCUUCAUAAAGGAUAGAGAUGACCAGCCAUCAGAAACACGAGUCAGGACUUACCUUCACGAGUUCACAAUCAUGGACGACUGGGGGUGGCAUCGGUUUGUGGAAAGAACGGUCCUCGAGGAAGACUAUGUUAUUCAAGGGCACGUCACGUUCGUAUGCACCAUCAUGGUCAUGCGUGAUGCUACGCCUGUCACCGUGCCCCCAUCCGACAUCAGGAACCAUCUCGGCUGCUUACUGGAUCAGGCAUAUGGGACGGAUGUGUCGUUUACCGUCCACGGCGAGACAUUCCCCGUGAACCGAGCGAUUCUUGCAGCCCGCUCACCCGUCUUCAAGGCAGAGCUCUUUGGGUCCAUGGCCGAAGCUACAAUGGCAUCCAUCACACUGCACGAUAUCACACCUUCAACAUUCAAAUAUUUGCUUCUGUUCAUAUACACAGAUGAGUUUCCUAUUACUACAGAGGAUAACCCCUCCAAUUCCAAUGAGGUAUUGUUUGACUUACUUGCCGCUGCCGAUCGGUACGCACUUGACCGGCUAAAGCUUAUGUGUGCUCAAAAGUUAUGGGAUAAUGUGUCAAUGGAUACAGUUAAAGAUAUUCAGGCUUGCGCUGACAUGUACAAUUGCCUCCAGUUGAAGAACAAGUGCGUUGACUUCAUUGCAAAAGAGAAAAAAGCGAAGAAGUCUCUUGUUUCAAAAACGAUUCGAAGAAGCCCAAGACUUCAUCAGGCUAAGGCACAGAUUUGA